CAAGGAGUAGUUUAAGUAGAAUUUCAGCUUUGGGUGCUGACGGUAGAGCUUAUGCUCUUUCCUUGA
RNAcentral lists this transfer RNA (66 nucleotides) under Miniopterus schreibersii (Schreibers' long-fingered bat). Its description in RNAcentral is "tRNA-Pro". RNAcentral also lists the same sequence under 1 other name. Lineage: Eukaryota; Metazoa; Chordata; Mammalia; Chiroptera; Miniopteridae. The record is from RNAcentral.